GAUGAACGCUGGCGGCGUGCCUAAUACUUGCAAGUCGAGCGAACAGAUGAGGAGCUUGCUCCUCUGACGUUAGCGGCGGACGGGUGAGUAACACGUGGAUAACCUACCUAUAAGACUGGGAUAACUUCGGGAAACCGGAGCUAAUACCGGAUAAUAUAUUGAACCGCAUGGUUCAAUAGUGAAAGACGGUUUUGCUGUCACUUAUAGAUGGAUCCGCGCCGCAUUAGCUAGUUGGUAAGGUAACGGCUUACCAAGGCAACGAUGCGUAGCCGACCUGAGAGGGUGAUCGGCCACACUGGAACUGAGACACGGUCCAGACUCCUACGGGAGGCAGCAGUAGGGAAUCUUCCGCAAUGGGCGAAAGCCUGACGGAGCAACGCCGCGUGAGUGAUGAAGGUCUUCGGAUUGUAAAACUCUGUUAUUAGGGAAGAACAAAUGUGUAAGUAACUAUGCACGUCUUGACGGUACCUAAUCAGAAAGCCACGGCUAACUACGUG
This 497-nucleotide ribosomal RNA is filed under the name uncultured bacterium. RNAcentral's name for it is "partial 16S ribosomal RNA". It matches the Rfam family "Bacterial small subunit ribosomal RNA", at positions 28 to 507 of the family's 1533-position model. The record is from RNAcentral.